This is a long non-coding RNA of Leopardus geoffroyi (Geoffroy's cat), 2325 nucleotides long. RefSeq lists it as uncharacterized. NCBI's taxonomy places the organism in Eukaryota, Metazoa, Chordata, Mammalia, Carnivora, Felidae. The transcript has 2 exons. The record is from RefSeq and is a predicted model, not a curated record.
CUUGAUGGCAGCCUCUGACUUUCCAUCUUGGCCCUUGUACCUUUGGCCCGGAAGAUUUAACAUCAUUUGGAUGUGAACUGGGUUCUCUACCAGUGAGAGAAAGUCAUAUCUGAGACUCAUGUGGAAUUGGGACCAUCGAUGAAAAUGGAGCAACCUUGGGAGAAGAUUCUUAAAGAAGAGGACUCCAGUCUCUCUCAGGCAGUGCCUUCAAAUGGUGUAGGUGUGGGGCGUGUAUGUACGUCAGCAAAUGAGUUUCAGACCUUUUGAAAGAAUAGCCCUGGUUUGGGAAUGGGGUUACAGAAUUGAACAGUGGCUGUUUGAGAACAAAGGGAUUAUACCUCCCUACCUUCUUGGAUGAUAUUCCAGGAAAGACCUGUUCUCCAAGGAAACACACUCUUGGACAUCAAAUAGACCACUCAGGCACGGGGAAGCUAUGGGUUUGGAGUCAGCUAAAGCAUAACUGUAGUACAUCUGUCACAGAGAAUGCCACACUUGGGAGCACUUCACACUUAGAGCUGGAAAAGACAUGUCUCUCAAGAGGAAGGCUUCCCAAAUUAAAGCAGUGCAUCAGCAUUGUGGGAUCCAUUGAGCAGGUAAAGACAAAGCUGCUUCACAGCCUGCUAGGAAUAAGAGCCCUGAUUAAAGGUCACGCCAGCCUUCAGAUUCCGGUUUCUUCUGCUAUUUUUCCUUUACUAUUUAUCUCCAUGAACUUGUCUGCAAUUAUCUGUCGCCGACCUUCUUUCUCUCCGCCUACCUUCCUUCUUUCUAUUCCUUCCUUCUUUUCUUUCCUUCUCCCACUCUCCCUCCCUUUCUCCCUUGUUUUUUUUUGUUUUUUUUGUUUUUAAGAUAUGCUGUACUCCCAACAUGAUGUUGCUGAAUAGCAAUAUUGUUUUCCUUCUAGUGGAGAUGGCUCUCUGUCAUGCCACCCGCAUGCUCUCCUGGUCCUUCCUGAGCUCCUGGCCACACCUUCACCAGGGCCCAAACCUGUGGCAUUGCUUAGCAUCCUGAUGUAACUAACUGAAUCGACUAGCUGGGAAAUGCUCUUCAUCAUCUGCAAAGUGUUACUACUAAUUAGGUAAUUUUGAGAGUUUCUGGAGCAGUAAUUUAGGAAGAACUCUGAAUUUAAAACAAACAAACAAAACCCAGGAAGGCAAGACGAUGAUUACAUAUGCAGGUAAGCUAUAAGUGGGAAGCAAAAAAGAUAGGCCCAGUAUUACCUCCUAAAUUUUAGAAAUAACUGCCAUGAUGAAAAACUCUAGGAGAAAAAGGCAUGUACUUCUAAGAUGAAUGUCUUUAUGAAAAAUGUUCUUUUCACACAUGUGGAUAGCAUGUGGAUGCAGGAUUAAACCAUAUCUGAGGAUCCCUAAAUUAGAUAUAACCAAGAUCUCCUGGUGGUAAAUGGUCAAGUAUAUGGGAUAAUCCAACAUGGAUAUCAUCUUUAGGGAAGGAUUUGCCUAGAAGGACAGACUAAAAUUGCUUUUGAAUCCAUAAACUGAUGUUCAGUUUCUCCGAAACUCAAACAUAUCCAUGAUUAAUUAGCUUUGGCAGCGCUGUUGUGUGAAAAAGAAUAAAUUCUUCCUGCCAUUAGGGCUCUAUGUGAGUGCUUACAUUCAGAGUACGAGUGAAGUGACUCUCAGAGAUGGAACUUUCAUUCUUUCCUGAAAACCAGGGAGGCCAUUGGUCUGGCCUGUUCUUUAAUAAUUGUUAACAGUCUGAAAUGUGUUAAGCUUUGUACAAAACAGAUAUCAGUACCUCAGAUUGUCAGCACUAUUUGAAAGAUAUAAAUAAUAUUCAGAGAGAGUAGCUGACCUAAUCAGGAUUUAGGGAUUCAGCAUAAUUACGGUCCUGAAUUUUAGAGCAUGAAGGCCUUGCCUUUUCUGUUUGUUUGUUUGUUUGUUUUACUCAAUAGGCUAUUAUGGGCUCGGAGAAACGAGCCUUGGCCCUACAGUCUGACUCACCUAGGUUUGAGUCCAAGCUCUGCCGCUGUCUGCUACACAUUCCUGGGCAAGUUACCAUCUGCUAUGGAUUGAAUGUUUGUGUCUCCAUAAUAUUUGUAUGUUGAAGCCCAGUUCUUGGUGUGAUGGUGUUUGGAGGCGGGGCCUCUAAGAAAUAAUUAGGUCAUGAAGGUGGAGGCUUCAUGAUGAGAUUAACGCCCUUAUAAGAAGAGAGACAAGAGAGUUGAUUUCUCUGCCAUGUGAAAAUAUAGGAAGAAGGUGGCUGUUUGCAGAGCAGGAAGAGGGCCCUCAACACAACCUAACCACACUGGCACCCUAAUCUUGCACUUCCAGCCUCCAGAACGUAGAGAAAUAAAUAUUUGUUGUGUAA